RNAcentral lists this unclassified non-coding RNA (1828 nucleotides) under Hevea brasiliensis (rubber tree). The record is from RNAcentral. Lineage: Eukaryota; Viridiplantae; Streptophyta; Magnoliopsida; Malpighiales; Euphorbiaceae.
CACUAACAGAUAAACUGUACGUGAAAGUUUCACUCCUUUCCUUGGAAAUUUUAAAUAAUUGCUCAAGAGUUCGAUAAUUGACUCCCCUGUUUUGCUCAGUGCCCUCCAUUGUAAACGUCUUUCCUGUUCCCGUUUGACCAUAUGCAAAUAUACAAACAUUGUACCCAUCUAGCACUGAGAUGACCAGGGGCGAGGCAUCCGCAAAUACAUCAACUUGGUUAUCGUUUGGUGUGUAAACCCUGUCAAAUUUAAAAGUCUUUCUAGUGGAGCCACCAGUUAGAAUCCCAAGAUCUCCAUCCUUUGCUGCUUCAAAGUCAACAACCAUUUUAUAUCCAGCUGGUAUCUCCUCCUUAAUUAAUGGGCGACACCGGCAGAAAACCCUGAUAUUUCCUUUAGCCUCCUGAAUUUGGUUAUACAGCUCCUUUCUCUUUGCUUGCUCUUCACUAUACUUUGCCUUGAGAUCUUCACAUUGUGCAACCAAUGCCUUAACUCCUGUGACCAUGUUAUUCAACUGAGGUAUAGAACCAGCACAUUCAUGUGCCUCACGAGAAAGCUGACAUUGCUCUUCCUUCAUCAUUUUAAUUUUUUCUUGUAAAUUCUUGACUGCUGCUGCCCAGUAUUUUUUAUCACGUUCAUAUAUGCUGGUAAUAUUCCUCAGAUUUUCAGAUUGUUUCCCCAUAGUUUGAACUAAAGAGCGGGUCUCAAAGGUCUUAUUAUCAAGUUCCAUUCUAGUCUUCUCCAGCUGUUCAUUUGCCGUAGUCAACGACAUCCAAGCCUCAUGACAUUCAUUUGUCUUGCGCUGGCACUCAGUAAUGAGUUCUUGUAUCUUCUUUUCAUAUUUGUCUGUAGCUUUUGUCCGCAUGAGUUUCUUCUGAUCUGAUGAAACUUCAAUCUCAGCAGCACAAUUGUUGCAUUUGAGAUGUUCUUGUGACGUGCAAGGAACUGACACCUUAGGCGCUUUCCUUACGCAAAUUCCACUAACAACUGGGCUUCCCAUAACCCCUUCAAAUCUUAUAACAAGUAUUCCAUCAUCCUUCACUGAGACCAUUGAUUCAACUAAUUGCAACGGCUUAUUGGCUCCAACAACAGAAAAGAUAUCAAAUUCUGUUAAGACCUUCUCUUCCUGCAUGAAUACAUUGAAUACUCUCAUUCCCUUAGGCCCAUUUGUAUUUAUAAUCUCUGCGAAAUGAAGAUCAACAAGAUAGCCUCCGGAAGGAAGAUUAUCGAACCGAUAACAAAAGUUACCCAAUCUUGCAGACUGAUAGAUGAAUGGGUAAUCUACGGCCUCAUUUAUAAGCUCAUUGGUUCGUAAAACAUUUCCUCCUUCAAAAUUGGUGUCACCCAGAAAUUUGACAGUGGAAUCUGCUUCAAUUGAAGCUUCACAUCCAGCAUUUACAAACAUCACAAUUUCAUCUGUGCAAUUCGACCUAGCAAACCCAGAUGGGAUUAGUCUUGAAUUUGAGUCACAAAGCAUAGAAUCAACCAAGGAAUCCCAAUCUCCAUCAAUGACGGAAUCUUUACUUUCUUCGUCCAAUUUGACAUCAUUCCCCCACUCAAAAACCUCAGAAACAGAGGAAUUUGGGAAUAGGGUUUCUGGGUCUUGGUACGGAUUGUUGAAUUGGGUAUCAUCCAUAAAGAUCAGAGCUUUUUGGGGCGUUUGAGAAAUGGGAAACAAGUUUAGGUACAAUCGAAAAGAAAGCUUUCUUGCGACAAAGAUUCGUUUAGAAUUAGAACAAGAGGGAAGAAUGGAAAUCUUAGGUCUUUUGCAUUUCUUUGUGUAGCGUACAGAGAGUGGAGUAGGCGGGGAACGUUCAAAUUUGAAUUCUAC